ACACAUGCAAGUCGAGGGGAAACGGCAUUAAGUGCUUGCACUUUUUGGACGUCGACCGGCGCACGGGUGAGUAACGCGUAUCCAACCUGCCCCUUACCAGGGAAUAACCCGUUGAAAGACGGACUAAUGCCCUAUGCAGUCCUUUGACGGCAUCAGAUUAGGACUAAAGAUUCAUCGGUAUGGGAUGGGGAUGCGUCUGAUUAGCUUGUUGGCGGGGUAACGGCCCACCAAGGCAUCGAUCAGUAGGGGUUCUGAGAGGAAGGUCCCCCACAUAGGAACUGAGACACGGUCCUAACUCCUACGGGAGGCAGCAGUGAGGAAUAUUGGUCAAUGGGCGCUAGCCUGAACCAGCCAAGUAGCGUGCAGGAUGACGGCCCUAUGGGUUGUAAACUGCUUUUAUGCGGGGAUAAAGUCACCCACGUGUGGGUGUUUGCAGGUACCGCAUGAAUAAGGACCGGCUAAUUCCGUGCCAGCAGCCGCGGUAAUACGGAAGGUCCGGGCGUUAUCCGGAUUUAUUGGGUUUAAAGGGAGUGUAGGCGGCCUGUUAAGCGUGUUGUGAAAUGUAGAUGCUCAACAUCUGAACUGCAGCGCGAACUGGCUGGCUUGAGUACACGCAACGUGGGCGGAAUUCAUGGUGUAGCGGUGAAAUGCUUAGAUAUCAUGAGGAACUCCUAUUGCGAAGGCAGCUCACGGGAGUGUCACUGACGCUUAAGCUCGAAGGUGCGGGUAUCAAACAGGAUUAGAUACCCUGGUAGUCCGCACGGUAAACGAUGGAUGCCCGCUGUUGGCGCUUUGCGUCAGCGGCUAAGCGAAAGCAUUAAGCAUCCCACCUGGGGAGUACGCCGGCA
RNAcentral lists this ribosomal RNA (848 nucleotides) under uncultured bacterium. Its description in RNAcentral is "bacterial SSU rRNA". It matches the Rfam family "Bacterial small subunit ribosomal RNA", at positions 51 to 890 of the family's 1533-position model. The record is from RNAcentral.